UACUAACUUUGUGUUUAAAAAGUGGGCU
This 28-nucleotide non-coding RNA is filed under the name Rattus norvegicus (Norway rat). The record is from RNAcentral. Lineage: Eukaryota; Metazoa; Chordata; Mammalia; Rodentia; Muridae.